CAUAAUCAACAUCUGUGAGUAAAUGAAUUAAUUAAGAGAAUGAAAUGAUCAAAUUAACAAAAAUAUUGCUUGGAUCAUAUGUGCUUGGAAAAAGUGUGAUUUCAACUGCUGCUAAUUCAGUAAGCAAUGCAUUCAAUCAUCUUUUAGAACAAGAUGUAUUUAUGAUGCAAAAUAACAAAAUAAAACUAAUUAUAGGAAUAUAAUCAUAAAACUAGUUAUUCAUAGAAAUAGUAUUUUAUUACAAGGUAUUUGCCACUAUUUAGAAAAGAGAUAUAACAAAAAAAUUUAAUGAUAAGUGAAAAUUUCUUACCACAUCUCUUACAUAC
RNAcentral lists this unclassified non-coding RNA (326 nucleotides) under Hevea brasiliensis (rubber tree). The record is from RNAcentral. Lineage: Eukaryota; Viridiplantae; Streptophyta; Magnoliopsida; Malpighiales; Euphorbiaceae.